Molecule: ribosomal RNA, 483 nt
Filed under: uncultured bacterium
Lineage: Bacteria
Description: partial 16S ribosomal RNA
Rfam family: Bacterial small subunit ribosomal RNA
Source: RNAcentral
UUGAACGCUGGCGGCAUGCCUUACACAUGCAAGUCGAACGGCAGCGCGGGAGCAAUCCUGGCGGCGAGUGGCGAACGGGUGAGUAAUACAUCGGAACGUGCCCAAUCGUGGGGGAUAACGCAGCGAAAGCUGUGCUAAUACCGCAUACGGUCUACGGAUGAAAGCAGGGGAUCGCAAGACCUUGCGCGAAUGGAGCGGCCGAUGGCAGAUUAGGUAGUUGGUGAGGUAAAGGCUCACCAAGCCUUCGAUCUGUAGCUGGUCUGAGAGGACGACCAGCCACACUGGGACUGAGACACGGCCCAGACUCCUACGGGAGGCAGCAGUGGGGAAUUUUGGACAAUGGGCGAAAGCCUGAUCCAGCCAUGCCGCGUGCAGGAUGAAGGCCUUCGGGUUGUAAACUGCUUUUGUACGGAACGAAACGGUCUUUUCUAAUAAAGAAGGCUAAUGACGGUACCGUAAGAAUAAGCACCGGCUAACUACGUG